AGCCUUUAGAGAGGAUUAAAGGUUAUACCUGCCCAAUGUUAUAUUAAUGGCCGCGGUACUUUGACCGUGCUAAGGUAGCACAAUCAAUUGGCCCUUAAUUAGGGUCAGGCAUGAAUGGAGUUACGGGGCUUAGCUGUCUCUAAACUAUUUAAUUGAAGUUGCUGUAUAGGUGAAAAAGCCUAUAUUAAGAAAAAAGACGAGAAGACCCUUAGAGUUUUACUUAAAAAAGAGUGUUAUUUCUUUACUAGUUUUGUUGGGGCAAUAUAGGAGAAGAAUUAAACCUCCUAAAAGAUAUAAACCGAUGUUUUUAAAUAUGGGCAAACUACCUUAGGGAUAACAGCAUAAUUUUAAAAGUAAGUUUGUGACCUCGAUGUUGGACUAGGGAACUUAAGGGCUAGCCGCCUUUUGGUAAGGUUCUGUUCGAACUAUAAUUCCU
This 436-nucleotide ribosomal RNA is filed under the name Chromodoris willani. Its description in RNAcentral is "partial 16S ribosomal RNA". It matches the Rfam family "Bacterial large subunit ribosomal RNA", at positions 1824 to 2596 of the family's 2925-position model. The record is from RNAcentral. Lineage: Eukaryota; Metazoa; Mollusca; Gastropoda; Nudibranchia; Chromodorididae.